This 899-nucleotide ribosomal RNA is filed under the name uncultured Chloroflexota bacterium. RNAcentral describes it as "bacterial SSU rRNA". It matches the Rfam family "Bacterial small subunit ribosomal RNA", at positions 8 to 916 of the family's 1533-position model. The record is from RNAcentral. Lineage: Bacteria; Bacillati; Chloroflexota.
AGAGUUUGAUCCUGGCUCAGGAUGAACGCUGGCGGCGUGCCUAAUACAUGCAAGUCGAACGAGGUGCUUUUGUAGCAAUACGAGAGUAUCCUAGUGGCGAACGGGUGAGUAACGCGUUGGUGACCUGCCCCAAAGUGUGGGAUAACAGUCCGAAAGGAUUGCUAAUACCGCAUGUGGUCAUCGGGUUUAGAAACCGAUGACUAAAGCAGUAAUGCGCUUUGGGAGGGACCUGCGUCCCAUCAGCUAGUUGGUAGGGUAACGGCCUACCAAGGCGACGACGGGUAGGGGACCUGAGAGGGUGGCCCCCCACAAUGGAACUGAAACACGGUCCAUACACCUACGGGUGGCAGCAGUAGGGAAUAUUGCUCAAUGGGCGAAAGCCUGAAGCAGCAACGCCGCGUGUGCGAUGAAGGUCUUCGGAUCGUAAAGCACUUUUCUGAGAGAUGAGAAAGGACAGUAUCUCAGGAAUAAGUCUCGGCUAACUACGUGCCAGCAGCCGCGGUAACACGUAGGAGGCGAGCGUUAUCCGGAUUCACUGGGCGUAAAGCGCGUGCAGGCGGUUUGGUAAGUUGGGCGUGAAAGCUCCCGGCUCAACUGGGAGAGGUCGUUCAAUACUACCAGACUUGAGAGCAGAAGAGGAAGAUGGAAUUCCCGGUGUAGUGGUGAAAUGCGUAGAUAUCGGGAGGAACACCAGUGGCGAAGGCGAUCUUCUGGUCUGUUUCUGACGCUCAGACGCGACAGCUAGGGUAGUAAACGGGAUUAGAGACCCCGGUAAUCCUAGCCGUAAACGAUGUGAACUUGGCGUUGGUGGCUUAAACACCAUCAGUGCCGAAGCAAACGCGAUAAGUUCACCGCCUGGGGACUACGGCCGCAAGGUUAAAACUCAAAGGAAUUGACGG